This is a non-coding RNA of Corynebacterium lipophiloflavum DSM 44291, 125 nucleotides long. The record is from Rfam. NCBI's taxonomy places the organism in Bacteria, Bacillati, Actinomycetota, Actinomycetes, Mycobacteriales, Corynebacteriaceae.
CUGUCCCGCGGUCGCUGAUGUGCGACGGAGUCCGCCGCGGAGACAGUCUUCUUGAAGACGUCCAUCGCACCGCAUUUCAACCGUUAUGCGGCCCGAGAACGGGAGAGAACGCUGAGCGUUACAAC